This 226-nucleotide long non-coding RNA is filed under the name Elaeis guineensis (African oil palm). RNAcentral describes it as "long non-coding RNA (EGUI_LNC005320)". Lineage: Eukaryota; Viridiplantae; Streptophyta; Magnoliopsida; Arecales; Arecaceae. The record is from RNAcentral.
CCAGGAAGUCGAUGCAUAAGAGGGCGCCGGUCGCCUCCUGAAUCGUUAUGAAAGUCUUGUAGCUCUUAAGAUGGUCGAUUGGGUCGGUGGAUCUGUCGUAUGGCUCCACUUAAGGCAUCUUGAACCGAGAUGGGAUCGGUUGGUCCAAGAUGUGUCGAGAAAGUGACUGGGUGGUAUAAAAGUCGUAGUCAUUGGAGGACUUCCGACCUUCCACUUAAAGCUGAGC